Molecule: ribosomal RNA, 840 nt
Filed under: Bacillus pumilus
Lineage: Bacteria; Bacillati; Bacillota; Bacilli; Caryophanales; Bacillaceae
Description: bacterial SSU rRNA
Rfam family: Bacterial small subunit ribosomal RNA
Source: RNAcentral
CUAUACAUGCAAGUCGAGCGGACAGAAGGGAGCUUGCUCCCGGAUGUUAGCGGCGGACGGGUGAGUAACACGUGGGUAACCUGCCUGUAAGACUGGGAUAACUCCGGGAAACCGGAGCUAAUACCGGAUAGUUCCUUGAACCGCAUGGUUCAAGGAUGAAAGACGGUUUCGGCUGUCACUUACAGAUGGACCCGCGGCGCAUUAGCUAGUUGGUGGGGUAAUGGCUCACCAAGGCAACGAUGCGUAGCCGACCUGAGAGGGUGAUCGGCCACACUGGGACUGAGACACGGCCCAGACUCCUACGGGAGGCAGCAGUAGGGAAUCUUCCGCAAUGGACGAAAGUCUGACGGAGCAACGCCGCGUGAGUGAUGAAGGUUUUCGGAUCGUAAAGCUCUGUUGUUAGGGAAGAACAAGUGCGAGAGUAACUGCUCGCACCUUGACGGUACCUAACCAGAAAGCCACGGCUAACUACGUGCCAGCAGCCGCGGUAAUACGUAGGUGGCAAGCGUUGUCCGGAAUUAUUGGGCGUAAAGGGCUCGCAGGCGGUUUCUUAAGUCUGAUGUGAAAGCCCCCGGCUCAACCGGGGAGGGUCAUUGGAAACUGGGAAACUUGAGUGCAGAAGAGGAGAGUGGAAUUCCACGUGUAGCGGUGAAAUGCGUAGAGAUGUGGAGGAACACCAGUGGCGAAGGCGACUCUCUGGUCUGUAACUGACGCUGAGGAGCGAAAGCGUGGGGAGCGAACAGGAUUAGAUACCCUGGUAGUCCACGCCGUAAACGAUGAGUGCUAAGUGUUAGGGGGGUUUCCGCCCCUUAGUGCUGCAGCUAACGCAUUAAGCACUCC